RNAcentral lists this transfer-messenger RNA (174 nucleotides) under Streptomyces sp. SID11233. Its description in RNAcentral is "partial transfer-messenger RNA". It matches the Rfam family "transfer-messenger RNA", at positions 1 to 162 of the family's 374-position model. Rfam says of the family: Bacterial tmRNA, also known as 10Sa RNA or SsrA, is named for its dual tRNA and mRNA-like properties. Lineage: Bacteria; Bacillati; Actinomycetota; Actinomycetes; Kitasatosporales; Streptomycetaceae. The record is from RNAcentral.
GGGGAUGAUCGGUUUCGACAGCGGCUGUCGAAACAGGGGAAGCGAGCCGAGGAAGCGGCAAUGAUCUCGUAAACCAUAUGUCGCAAAAAAUAAUCGCCAAUACCAAGCGCGAUUCCUCCGCCUUCGCCCUUGCUGCCUGAUUAGCAGCUAGCGAAGACUCCGCGGAGUGUCAGC